This 67-nucleotide transfer RNA is filed under the name Rhodoneura mellea. RNAcentral's name for it is "tRNA-Glu". The record is from RNAcentral. Lineage: Eukaryota; Metazoa; Arthropoda; Insecta; Lepidoptera; Thyrididae.
AUUUAUAUAGUUUAUGAAAAACUUUACAUUUUCAUUGUAAUAAAAAAAUAUUUUAUUUUUAUAAAUA